This 507-nucleotide ribosomal RNA is filed under the name uncultured bacterium. RNAcentral describes it as "bacterial SSU rRNA". It matches the Rfam family "Bacterial small subunit ribosomal RNA", at positions 8 to 518 of the family's 1533-position model. The record is from RNAcentral.
AGAGUUGAUCUGGCUCAGGAUGAACGCUGGCGGCGUGCCUAACACAUGCAAGUCGAGCGAGAAAUCGCUCAAUGAUCUUCGGGUGAUUGAGCGAUGGAAAGCGGCGGACGGGUGAGUAACGCGUAGGUAACCUGCCCCAUACAGAGGGAUAGCCACUGGAAACGGUGAUUAAUACCUCAUAACACCGGAAUAUCGCAUGGUAUACCGGUCAAAGUUUUUCGGUAUGGGAUGGACCUGCGUCUGAUUAGCUGGUUGGUGAGGUAACGGCUCACCAAGGCGACGAUCAGUAGCCGACCUGAGAGGGUGAUCGGCCACAUUGGAACUGAGACACGGUCCAAACUCCUACGGGAGGCAGCAGUGGGGAAUAUUGCACAAUGGGCGCAAGCCUGAAUGCAGCAACGCCGCGUGAACGAAGAAGGCUCUUGGGUCGUAAAGUUCUGUUCUGAGGGAAGAAGAUCUGACGGUACCUCAGGAGAAAGCCCCGGCUAACUACGUGCCAGCAGCCGC